This 404-nucleotide ribosomal RNA is filed under the name Actinomycetes bacterium. Its description in RNAcentral is "Actinobacteria bacterium partial 16S ribosomal RNA". It matches the Rfam family "Bacterial small subunit ribosomal RNA", at positions 355 to 776 of the family's 1533-position model. The record is from RNAcentral. Lineage: Bacteria; Bacillati; Actinomycetota; Actinomycetes.
UGGGGACUAUUGGACAAUGGGCGCAAGCCUGAUCCAGCCAUGCCGCGUGAGUGAUGAAGGCUCUAGGGUUGUAAAGCUCUUUCACCGGUGAAGAUAAUGACGGUAACCGGAGAAGAAGCCCCGGCUAACUUCGUGCCAGCAGCCGCGGUAAUACGAAGGGGGCUAGCGUUGUUCGGAUUUACUGGGCGUAAAGCGCACGUAGACGGACUAUUAAGUCAGGGGUGAAAUCCCGGGGCUCAACCCCGGAACUGCCUUUGAUACUGGUAGUCUUGAGUUCGACAGAGGUGAGUGGAAAUCCGAGUGUAGAGGUGAAAUUCGUAUAUAUUCGGAGGAACACCAGUGGCGAAGGCGGCUCACUGACUCGAUACUGACGCUGAGGUGCGAAAGCGUGGAGAGCAAACAGG